This 253-nucleotide ribosomal RNA is filed under the name uncultured bacterium. RNAcentral's name for it is "partial 16S ribosomal RNA". It matches the Rfam family "Bacterial small subunit ribosomal RNA", at positions 524 to 776 of the family's 1533-position model. The record is from RNAcentral.
UACGGAGGGUGCAAGCGUUAAUCGGAAUUACUGGGCGUAAAGCGUGCGCAGGCGGUUUGUUAAGUCUGUUGUGAAAUCCCCGAGCUCAACUUGGGAAUUGCAAUGGAUACUGGCAGGCUCGAGUAUGGUAGAGGAAGGUGGAAUUCCCGGUGUAGCAGUGAAAUGCGCAGAUAUCAGGAGGAACACCAAUGGCGAAGGCAGCUCGCUGGGACGUGACUGACGCUGAGACGCGAAAGCGUGGGGAGCAAACAGG